CCUACGGGGGGCUGCAGUGGGGAAUAUUGGACAAUGGGGGGAACCCUGAUCCAGCCAUGCCGCGUGUGUGAAGAAGGCCCUCGGGUUGUAAAGCACUUUCAGUGAGGAAGAACGCCUGGUGGUUAAUACCCAUCAGGAAAGACAUCACUCACAGAAGAAGCACCGGCUAACUCCGUGCCAGUAGCCGCGGUAAUACGGAGGGUGCGAGCGUUAAUCGGAAUUACUGGGCGUAAAGCGCGCGUAGGUGGCUUGAUAAGCCGGUUGUGAAAGCCCCGGGCUCAACCUGGGAACGGCAUCCGGAACUGUCAAGCUAGAGUGCAGGAGAGGAAGGUAGAAUUCCCGGUGUAGCGGUGAAAUGCGUAGAGAUCGGGAGGAAUACCAGUGGCGAAGGCGGCCUUCUGGACUGACACUGACACUGAGGUGCGAAAGCGUGGGUAGCAAACAGGAUUAGAUACCCUAGUAGUC
RNAcentral lists this ribosomal RNA (465 nucleotides) under Vreelandella stevensii. Its description in RNAcentral is "partial 16S ribosomal RNA". It matches the Rfam family "Bacterial small subunit ribosomal RNA", at positions 338 to 795 of the family's 1533-position model. Lineage: Bacteria; Pseudomonadati; Pseudomonadota; Gammaproteobacteria; Oceanospirillales; Halomonadaceae. The record is from RNAcentral.